UACGGAGGAUGCGAGCGUUAUCCGGAUUUAUUGGGUUUAAAGGGUGCGUAGGCGGAUCGUUAAGUCAGUGGUCAAAUUGAGGGGCUCAACCCCUUCCCGCCAUUGAAACUGGCGCUCUUGAGUGGAAGAGAAGUAUGCGGAAUGCGUGGUGUAACGGUGAAAUGCAUAGAUAUCACGCAGAACCCCGAUUGCGAAGGCAGCAUGCCGGCUUCCGACUGACGCUGAAGCACGAAAGCGUGGGGAUCGAACAGG
RNAcentral lists this ribosomal RNA (252 nucleotides) under uncultured bacterium. RNAcentral describes it as "partial 16S ribosomal RNA". It matches the Rfam family "Bacterial small subunit ribosomal RNA", at positions 524 to 776 of the family's 1533-position model. The record is from RNAcentral.